AUUUAGGUGAGGAGUGAAAUAAGUAAAAGUCCUUGAGGUCGAAACAUGGCAAGACUCUCGGGGGCUUUUUCUUU
This 74-nucleotide small RNA is filed under the name Cyanobacterium aponinum PCC 10605. RNAcentral describes it as "Cyano-1 RNA". It matches the Rfam family "Cyano-1 RNA". The record is from Rfam by way of RNAcentral. Lineage: Bacteria; Bacillati; Cyanobacteriota; Cyanophyceae; Chroococcales; Geminocystaceae.